GGACAGAAAGACCCUAUGAAGCUUUACUGUAGCUUGAGAUUGGCUCCGGGCUUUAUUUGCGCAGGAUAGGUGGGAGGCGUUGACGACUUUCUUGCGGGAAAGUUUGAGCCACUGGUGAGAUACCACUCUAAUAAAGCUAGGAUUCUAACCCUAUAA
Molecule: ribosomal RNA, 156 nt
Filed under: Diacronema lutheri
Lineage: Eukaryota; Haptophyta; Pavlovophyceae; Pavlovales; Pavlovaceae
Description: partial 23S ribosomal RNA
Rfam family: Bacterial large subunit ribosomal RNA
Source: RNAcentral